AUUGAACGCUGGCGGCAUGCUUUACACAUGCAAGUCGAACGGUAACAGGCCUUCGGGUGCUGACGAGUGGCGAACGGGUGAGUAAUGCAUCGGAACGUACCCAGAGGUGGGGGAUAACGCAGCGAAAGCUGUGCUAAUACCGCAUGUGAUCUGAGGAUGAAAGCGGGGGACCGAGCAGCAAUGUUUGGCCUCGCGCCUUUGGAGCGGCCGAUGUCGGAUUAGCUAGUUGGUGGGGUAAAGGCCUACCAAGGCGACGAUCCGUAGCUGGUCUGAGAGGACGACCAGCCACACUGGGACUGAGACACGGCCAAGACUCCUACGGGAGGCAGCAGUGGGGAAUUUUGGACAAUGGGCGCAAGCCUGAUCCAACAAUGCCGCGUGCGGGAAGAAGGCCUUCGGGUUGUAAACCGCUUUUGGCAGGAACGAAACGGUGUCCGCUAAUACCGGGCGCUAAUGACGGUACCUGCAGAAUAAGCACCGGCUAACUACGUG
RNAcentral lists this ribosomal RNA (492 nucleotides) under uncultured bacterium. RNAcentral's name for it is "partial 16S ribosomal RNA". It matches the Rfam family "Bacterial small subunit ribosomal RNA", at positions 29 to 507 of the family's 1533-position model. The record is from RNAcentral.